RNAcentral lists this ribosomal RNA (458 nucleotides) under uncultured bacterium. RNAcentral's name for it is "partial 16S ribosomal RNA". It matches the Rfam family "Bacterial small subunit ribosomal RNA", at positions 355 to 803 of the family's 1533-position model. The record is from RNAcentral.
UGGGGAAUAUUGCACAAUGGGCGCAAGCCUGAUGCAGCCAUGCCGCGUGUGUGAAGAAGGCCUUCGGUUGUAAAGCACUUCAGCGAGGAGGAAGGUGGUGAGCUUAAUACGCUCAUCAAUUGACGUUACUCGCAGAAGAAGCACCGGCUAACUCCGUGCCAGCAGCCGCGGUAAUACGGAGGGUGCAAGUGUUAAUCGGAAUUACUGGCGUAAAGCGCACGCAGGCGGUUUGUUAAGUCAGAUGUGAAUCCCGCGUCAACCUGGGAACUGCAUUUGAAACUGGCAAGCUAGAGUCUCGUAGAGGGGGUGAGAAUUGAUCCCAGGUGUAGCGGUGAAAUGCGUAGAGAUCUGGAGGAAUACCGGUGGCGAAGGCGGCCCCCUGCAGCGAAGACUGACGCUCAGGUGCGAAAAGGCGUGGGGCAGCAAACAGGAUUAGAUACCCUGGUAGUCCACGCUGU